Molecule: unclassified non-coding RNA, 334 nt
Filed under: uncultured fungus
Lineage: Eukaryota; Fungi
Description: sequence contains ITS1
Source: RNAcentral
AAUCCAAGAAUUUCACCUCUAGCAUGUGAGUACUAAUGCCCCCGACUGUCCCUAUUAAUCAUUACGGCGAUUCCAAAAACCAACAAAAUAGAACCGCACGUCCUAUUUUAUUAUUCCAUGCUAAUAUAUUCCGGCGUCGAGCCUGCUUUGAACACUCUAAUUUUUUCAAAGUAAAGGUCCUGGUUCCCUGCUGCCGAAACAACAGAUCACCAAGAGGAAAGACCCAGCAAGACAGUACUCGCCGUGAGGCGGACCGCCUGUCCAGGUCCAAGGUCCAACUACGAGCUUUUUAACUGCAACAACUUUAAUAUACGCUAUUGGAGCUGGAAUUACC